This 3157-nucleotide long non-coding RNA is filed under the name Lactuca sativa (garden lettuce). RNAcentral's name for it is "long non-coding RNA (LSAT_LNC009137)". The record is from RNAcentral. Lineage: Eukaryota; Viridiplantae; Streptophyta; Magnoliopsida; Asterales; Asteraceae.
UGUUUGUCUUUUAACCUUAAACGUAUUGAUGAAUAAAUGAUGAUGAUGAUGUGUAAACAACAGAAGAGAACUGGCUUUCAUUUUUCCGACCACGUGACUGGGAGAUCUUAAUAAUGGAAGCUCUCUUACAUGUUCCUGAAAAUGAAGAAAAGAAUAGAACUUUCAGAAUUAGCAUAGCAGAUGAUUUAUCUCUUCCACCAGCAUGCCAGACAUGUGUCACUGGUUGCACAAGAACUCAAGAACCAGAUGCUUCCGGAAAGACACAUCCUCAACCUACACCCACCUAGUAUUGCUCACUUUUCAGAUCCUUAAGUUUCACACAUAAUUCAGGUGCUUUUCUCAAUAAAAAUUUUGCUUCUAAAAUCUAAACUAUACACAUUUAUUACACUGUGUCCUGAUAACUUGUAUGCCCUUUUUACCCCUGUUUUAUCAAUUUUUUUUUAUUUUAUGUUUUCAUAGACUAUGUUCUAUAUGAUAUCAUUGUACCACACGCUAAAUUUAUGGUCUGUGACAAAAAUAUUUGUUACCAUCUGGAUAAAGUUGGACAUGUGAAGACAAAAUAAAGGUUCUCCAAAUCGUGGUGUUUUUUUUUCCUGCAUACUAGGACUAUCCGUUUGUAGGGAAGAAAGAAAAUCUCAUUUGUUUCUUUUAUAACAGCCUCUUUGUUACCUAGAACAUGACAUGACAAAACAAUAAUAGACUGUAUUUAUUGUAUUUGGUAUGCAUUGGACUGGACCAUGACCAGGACUUAUGUCCAUAGGGAAAUAACUGCAAUCUUUGGAGACGGGAGUGUGCGCAUAGCUUUAAAAAAACUUGUCUAUUCAUGUCAUGUGUAAAAGCGGUCAAAUGCACUUUUGUGAGUUGUCUUGCAUACAAAAUCGUUUGUGUUUUUCUUGGUUUUUAGGUGAAAUCCGUUGGAUACUUCUCACUUUUUAAAGAGAUUUAUAAUAUUUGGUAUGAUAGAAUCAAGUAAUGAAUGAAAUGGUUAGUUUUAUUGGAAUGAAAAAUAAAUGUUUGUUUUUGUGUGAUAAAAUGAAGUGGAUGAUUCUUGAAGGGAUAUGGUGAGUUUUUUUUUAUCCAAUUGUAUAAUGGACUGAAAAUAUAAACCUUUUUUUAGUUGUCACAUUGGCAUCUACAUACGUACAUACUUGAUGCUUAGGUUCAUACCUACCUUUCUUUUUCUCUCUCUCUCUCUCUCUCUCUCUCUCUCUAUAUAUAUAUAUAUAUAUAUAUAUANNNNNNNNNNNNNNNNNNNNNNNNNNNNNNNNNNNNNNNNNNNNNNNNNNNNNNNNNNNNNNNNNNNNNNNNNNNNNNUUUUUUUGUGUUAUUGGAAAUAUUAAUAAAAAGAUCUAAAAAUUAACAUUAUAAAUCAAAAUUUUAGAUUUUUUUAUAAAAAUAAUAAUUUUCAUUUAAAAAAAAAAUGCACAUUUUUUUAUUUUUUAUUUUUAAAAAUUGAUAUAUUUUUUUAUAACUGUAAUUUAAAUUUUUUUUUUUAAAAAUCAGUAAAUUUUUUAAAACAAGCUGGAAUAUUUAAAAAAAACUAUAAUUUUUUUAACCAAAAAAAGUCAACGUUUUAGGUGUACAUAUUCAUUUUUUUUUCAAGUGCAUAUAUGCCUAUUUCUUAUACUAUAAUAUUCGUAAGUAAAUUUAAAAAAAAUCAUUUUUAUUUACUAAUCUAUAAACAAAAUAGUACAAUUUAUUUGAUACAAAAUAAAAUAUAAAAAACAAAAAAUGUUACAAAAUUUCAAGAUGUUUUUGUAUCUUCGUGUCAAGAUUUCAAUAUUUUCUUAAUUUUAUCAUUUUUCACCUAUUCAAUAUUUUCCAUAAAUUCUUCCAAAUCUACAAGAAAAUCAAAAAUAAUUUGAUUAAUGAAAGAACACUCACAAAAAUGCAUAUUUUUAUAUCAUGUAAGAUUUGCAUGUGAUUAUAUAAUGUGAUAUUCACAUGUGAUUAUAUCUUUUAAGAUUCAAAUAUGAAAUUCACAAGAAAAUUUAAAAAAAAUAAUUAACGAAGAACACACAUAAAAUGAAUAGACGUAAUUUAUAUGUGAUUCACUUGUGAUUUACAUAUAAAUCAUAUGUAAUUCAUAUGUGAUUCACUUGUGAUUUAUAUGUAAAUUACAUGUGAAUCACAUGUAAUUCAUAUAUGAUUCACAAGUGAAUUAUAUGUGAAUUACAUGUGAUUCAUUUGUGAUUUACAUGUGAAUUACAUGUGAUUUAUAUGUGACUCACAUGUGAUUUACAUGUAAUUUAUAUGUGAUUCACUGUCAACAUCAAGAAGCUUAACCUGAUCAAACGUACAUAUAAAAACAAUAUUAUGCCACCAAUAUCAAGGAUUCAAUAACUCUAAUGGAAUUACAUAGAAAAUUCGAUUAAAAAAGGCAUUUCAUUGCAUUACAAUAUGUAUUUAGUGUUAUAGGCAAACCUAUUAAGAAAAUUACAAUCAAGUUCCAUAAGAUUGAAACAAUGUAUGCUUUUAAAAUCCAAACAAACCUCACUAACAAGAUCACGACUCCCAAGGUUAAGAGCAUCAGACAAGAACAAAAUAUCUUUCCUCAAAUAACUGGAAAUAAGUUAGGCGCGACAAUGGAUUACCUAAUUCACCGGGAACUAGAAGCAAUAGCUUAAUAAUCUUCAAUGGCGGAGGAAGCCAUGGAUUCCGAGGUCGGAUCGUUGAUUCCAGACGACGAUUCUAGAACUUAGAUACGCUAAAAACAAUAGAUUACCUACAUAAAAGAUAGAACAGGGCGAGGGCUAAAAAUCGAUGGCAGAAACCGAAUGUGAAACGAUUAUAGAAAUUCAUUUCAUUAACAUCGAGAAAACGAUUGUACCUAUUGCUUGGAUUAAACAUGAAGGCCGGAAGAAAGUGAUGAAGAUCUGGUGAUUGUAGAAAUCGAUUUCAUUAACGUCGAAAACGAUUAUAGGUGUAAUCGUUGAGGUGACUGACGGCAACAGAAAAUUACCGAUUGUAGGAGCAUUUGUUACAAAUCCGACGAUCUGGAGAUUAGGGAGUGUUACCUAAGACAGGACGAAGGGGAGAGAGAGACAGGAUGAAGGGAAAGAGAGGGAGGGUAGGGUUGAUGUUAUCCCUAAAAUGCCCUUCACUCAUUUUAAUUAGAUGCCCUCCUGUCUUCAUUUUCUUAAGUAUUUACAAAACC